GGAGGGGUGGCAGAGCGGUUGAAUGCGGCGGUCUUGAAAACCGUUGAGGGUUCAUAGCCCUCCGUGGGUUCGAAUCCCACCCCCUCCGCCA
Molecule: transfer RNA, 91 nt
Filed under: Bacillota bacterium
Lineage: Bacteria; Bacillati; Bacillota
Also listed under: 1 other name
Description: tRNA-Ser
Rfam family: tRNA
About the family: Transfer RNA (tRNA) molecules are approximately 80 nucleotides in length. Their secondary structure includes four short double-helical elements and three loops (D, anti-codon, and T loops).
Source: RNAcentral